This is a non-coding RNA of Echinostoma caproni, 73 nucleotides long. The record is from Rfam. Lineage: Eukaryota; Metazoa; Platyhelminthes; Trematoda; Plagiorchiida; Echinostomatidae.
GGUUCAGUGGUGUAGUGGUUAUCACGUCCGCCUCACACGCGGAAGGUCCCCGGUUCGAGCCCGGGCUGAACCA